This 116-nucleotide ribosomal RNA is filed under the name Lates calcarifer (barramundi perch). Lineage: Eukaryota; Metazoa; Chordata; Actinopteri; Centropomidae. The record is from RNAcentral.
GCCUACCACACCACCCAGAACACGCCCGAUCUCGUCUGAUCUCGGAGGCAACGCAGGAUCGGGCCUGGUUAGCGCUUGGCAGAGAGACUGCCUGGGAAUGCCUGGUGCUGUAAGCU